UUUGAUGAGGAGAAUAAACCUCAUUAUAGUUCAUAGUAAAGAUCAAUGAAAAGACUUUUUCUCCUCUUACUAUCAGACUUAUGUUAUCUGAGCUUAAAGAACUGGAAAGCACACAUCAAAGGAGCAUUCCCAUGGAAGAAGAGG
This is a non-coding RNA of Choloepus hoffmanni (Hoffmann's two-fingered sloth), 144 nucleotides long. The record is from Rfam. Lineage: Eukaryota; Metazoa; Chordata; Mammalia; Pilosa; Megalonychidae.